GAUGAACGCUGGCGGCGUGCUUAACACAUGCAAGUCGAACGAUGAAGCCCAGCUUGCUGGGUGGAUUAGUGGCGAACGGGUGAGUAACACGUGAGUAACCUGCCCUUGACUCUGGGAUAAGCCUGGGAAACUGGGUCUAAUACUGGAUAUGACUUCUCAUCGCAUGGUGGGGGGUGGAAAGAUUUAUUGGUCUUGGAUGGACUCGCGGCCUAUCAGCUUGUUGGUGAGGUAAUGGCUCACCAAGGCGACGACGGGUAGCCGGCCUGAGAGGGUGACCGGCCACACUGGGACUGAGACACGGCCCAGACUCCUACGGGAGGCAGCAGUGGGGAAUAUUGCACAAUGGGCGCAAGCCUGAUGCAGCGACGCCGCGUGAGGGAUGACGGCCUUCGGGUUGUAAACCUCUUUCAGUAGGGGAGAAGCGAGAGUGACGGUACCUGCAGAAGAAGCGCCGGCUAACUACGUG
Molecule: ribosomal RNA, 466 nt
Filed under: uncultured bacterium
Lineage: Bacteria
Description: partial 16S ribosomal RNA
Rfam family: Bacterial small subunit ribosomal RNA
Source: RNAcentral